Molecule: small RNA, 187 nt
Filed under: Marmota monax (woodchuck)
Lineage: Eukaryota; Metazoa; Chordata; Mammalia; Rodentia; Sciuridae
Source: RNAcentral
UAGCCCAUAUGUUAGUUGAGGAACAGCUUCAAGCUGGUCAUUUAGAGCCUUUGAUCAGCCCUUGGAACACACCUAUCUUUGUAAUUAAGAAAAAAUCUGGUAAUUGGAGAUCAUUACAAGAUCUUAGAGCUAUUAAUGAGGUCAUGGAGCCCAUGGGAGCAUUGCAAUCUGGGCUUUUUUCUCCUAC